This 205-nucleotide ribosomal RNA is filed under the name Muribaculaceae bacterium Isolate-037 (Harlan). RNAcentral describes it as "Bacterial large subunit ribosomal RNA". It matches the Rfam family "Bacterial large subunit ribosomal RNA", at positions 187 to 386 of the family's 2925-position model. The record is from Rfam by way of RNAcentral. Lineage: Bacteria; Pseudomonadati; Bacteroidota; Bacteroidia; Bacteroidales; Muribaculaceae.
GGGGAACUGAAACAUCUAAGUACCCGCAGGAAGAGAAAGUAAGAACGAUUCCCCAAGUAGCGGCGAGCGAACGGGGAUGAGCCCAAACCGGCGGUGUCGCAAGGCAUGUGCCGGGGUUAUAGGACCGUCCGUGACGUUGGAGUGAGCCUAGUGGAAGCGCAUGGAGCGGCGCGCCACAGCGGGUGAGAGCCCCUUACACGAAAGG